UCUAUGGUCACUACAGAAAUACAGUGUCCCACACCUGCUGUUCAAACUGCUUGUUUCGAGGGCCAGCCACUCAGAAUCAGGUCAGCUGAGGAUGAACUGAAGUCCUGCAUAUAGAUAUCAGAGAUCAGCGAUGGUCAAAGUAACUGGCGAUGCUCUCCAGCUAAAUCAGACAUGAGCUAUCGAUUCCUAUCAACAUCAUUAUUAAGAUGAUCACCAGUCAGCAAAAAUGAAGAAUCUUUUGGCGUGAAAGAGCUCCUCGUCUCAAAAGCCUUUUUAGUCCAUGACCUGGACCAGGAGCCUGGUGGACGCUGACUUCCUGUCCUGUUAAAGAGCUGCCAGUCAGCGGAGCAGCUGUCGGUUUACAGCGGAAGCUGUGGUGGGAUAUUUUACACCGUCUUUCCUGGAAACCCAACACUGCAACGAGCAGCCGAACAGCAGGAGGGAGGAGAGGGAAAGUUUUCGCUCGUUCCCUGGAGUGGAGAGAAGAUGAAUGAGGGAAGAAGGGGAAAAGUUCAUGACGGGGUGAUAACGAGGUCGUCUACAGACGCUCAGUGUUUGAGUUCACCCGUAUGUCAUCAUGUAGAUUUAUUUUCAAAGUGUAGGGCCAAAGUCAUGAAGAUUAUGAAGCAUGCAGAUCUUAACUCAAAUAUUCCAACUGAAAGCAGCUUGUAGAGAAACAC
Oreochromis niloticus (Nile tilapia) is the source of this 680-nucleotide long non-coding RNA. RefSeq lists it as uncharacterized. NCBI's taxonomy places the organism in Eukaryota, Metazoa, Chordata, Actinopteri, Cichliformes, Cichlidae. The transcript is spliced from 2 exons. The record is from RefSeq and is a predicted model, not a curated record.